RNAcentral lists this transfer RNA (92 nucleotides) under Malassezia japonica. Its description in RNAcentral is "tRNA-Glu". It matches the Rfam family "tRNA". Rfam says of the family: Transfer RNA (tRNA) molecules are approximately 80 nucleotides in length. The record is from RNAcentral. Lineage: Eukaryota; Fungi; Basidiomycota; Malasseziomycetes; Malasseziales; Malasseziaceae.
UCCUAGUUAGUACAACGGUUAGUAUAUGUCGCUCUCAUGUGUUUCGACUGUGAAGCGCCGACAAGACCCGGGUUCGACUCCCGGAUUGGGAA